GGUGGGGGGAGGGGCUCCUUGCACAGGGCUGCAGACGGUGCUUGUCACGGACUGAGCUCCACCCUCGGCCCUUAGGCAUUAACCCACAGAGAUAAUAUUAUAGGCAUAGGCUUAUUCUCUGCCAUCACAGAAAGGGAAAAAAAAUCUAAUUUUAUACUGAAGCCUGAACUGAAAGAUAUUGCUCUGAUACUGUGGACAUAAGCUGAAGCAGAAGAACCUGUGAAAGAAGAGAGUCCGUCACCUGAAGGCCAGGCCUCAGCAAACUGUUGUUUCAGCUGCCCAGCUUUUGUUUGUGGGGUGACGUAAGAGACCAAGGUAUUUUUUCCAGUGCAGACAGGAUGCAACCCUGUAUAAUGCGCAAAGGGGAAAGGAAAUGGGUAUACGGUGUUAUGUAUUGGCUGUGACUGAAAAAAGGCGUAACAUUGAGGACUGAACAUUUGACGCACCAUAUUAAAGGUUAAUAUCUUUUUGAUAUC
This is a long non-coding RNA of Protopterus annectens (West African lungfish), 476 nucleotides long. RefSeq lists it as uncharacterized. NCBI's taxonomy places the organism in Eukaryota, Metazoa, Chordata, Ceratodontiformes, Protopteridae. The transcript is spliced from 3 exons. The record is from RefSeq and is a predicted model, not a curated record.